CGUAGGGUGCGAGCGUUGUCCGGAUUUAUUGGGCGUAAAGAGCUUGUAGGCGGUUUGUCGCGUCGGGAGUGAAAACUCAGUGCUUAACACUGAGCCUGCUUCCGAUACGGGCAGACUUGAGGAAGGUAGGGGAGAUUGGAAUUCCUGGUGAAGCGGUGGAAUGCGUAGAUAUCAGGAGGAACACCAGUGGCGAAGGCGGAUCUCUGGACCUUUCCUGACGCUGAGAAGCGAAAGCGUGGGGAGCAAACAGGCUUAGAUACCCU
RNAcentral lists this ribosomal RNA (263 nucleotides) under uncultured prokaryote. RNAcentral's name for it is "partial 16S ribosomal RNA". It matches the Rfam family "Bacterial small subunit ribosomal RNA", at positions 526 to 788 of the family's 1533-position model. The record is from RNAcentral.